Molecule: ribosomal RNA, 449 nt
Filed under: uncultured bacterium
Lineage: Bacteria
Description: partial 16S ribosomal RNA
Rfam family: Bacterial small subunit ribosomal RNA
Source: RNAcentral
AGCGAACGCUGGCGGCAGGCCUAACACAUGCAAGUCGAACGGAUCCUUCGGGAUUAGUGGCGGACGGGUGAGUAACACGUGGGAACGUGCCCUUUGGUUCGGAACAACUCAGGGAAGCUUGAGCUAAUACCGGAUGUGCCCUUCGGGGGAAAGAUUUAUCACCAUUGGAGCGGCCCGCGUCUGAUUAGCUAGUUGGUGGGGUAAAGGCCCACCAAGGCGACGAUCAGUAGCUGGUCUGAGAGGAUGAUCAGCCACAUUAGGACUGAGACACGGCCCAAACUCCUACGGGAGGCAGCAGUGGGGAAUCUUGCGCAAUGGGCGAAAGCCUGACGCAGCCAUGCCGCGUGAAUGAUGAAGGUCUUAGGAUUGUAAAAUUCUUUCACCGGGGACGAUAAUGACGGUACCCGGAGAAGAAGCCCCGGCUAACUUCGUGCCAGCAGCCGCCGUAA